Molecule: ribosomal RNA, 91 nt
Filed under: Phellinus ribis f. ulicis
Lineage: Eukaryota; Fungi; Basidiomycota; Agaricomycetes; Hymenochaetales; Hymenochaetaceae
Description: partial 28S ribosomal RNA
Rfam family: Eukaryotic large subunit ribosomal RNA
Source: RNAcentral
UUGACCUCAAAUCAGGUAGGAUUACCCGCUGAACUUAAGCAUAUCAAUAAGCGGAGGAAAAGAAACUAACAAGGAUUSGANNUAGUAACGG